GACGAACGCUGGCGGCGUGCCUAAUACAUGCAAGUCGAGCGGACAGAUAAGGAGCUUGCUCCUUUGAAGUCAGCGGCGGACGGGUGAGUAACACGUGGGCAACCUGCCCUGUAGACUGGGAUAACUUCGGGAAACCGGAGCUAAUACCGGAUAAUACUUUUGAACUCAUGUUUGAAAGUUGAAAGAUGGUUUCGGCUAUCACUAUAGGAUGGGCCCGCGGCGCAUUAGCUAGUUGGUAAGGUAACGGCUUACCAAGGCAACGAUGCGUAGCCGACCUGAGAGGGUGAUCGGCCACACUGGGACUGAGACACGGCCCAGACUCCUACGGGAGGCAGCAGUAGGGAAUCUUCCGCAAUGGACGAAAGUCUGACGGAGCAACGCCGCGUGAACGAAGAAGGCCUUCGGGUCGUAAAGUUCUGUUGUUAGGGAAGAACAAGUACGAUAGUAACUGAUCGUACCUUGACGGUACCUAACCAGAAAGCCACGGCUAACUACGUGCCAGCAGCCGCGGUAAAAC
Molecule: ribosomal RNA, 517 nt
Filed under: uncultured bacterium
Lineage: Bacteria
Description: bacterial SSU rRNA
Rfam family: Bacterial small subunit ribosomal RNA
Source: RNAcentral